UAGGACCUAAUUCAUAAUUCAAGUAAUUAAAUCAGGCUAAGAGAUUGUUUAAUUACAAAAAAUAACCUUUUUUUUUUCUUAAAAAACAUUAUUGACCCUUUUUAAAAUAUAAAAAUAGUAUAGCCGCACGGCUAUACUCGCUUUAAACCCUUUUUUUUCCAGAUUUUAAAAACAGUACAGCCGCAUGGUUUGACACGUGGCGCCUAGGUGCUGGCUAGAUUUUUUUAAUUUUUUUAAAAAUAGUAUAGCCGAGCGGCUAUACUCGCUUCAAAAAAAAAAUGUUCAGAACUGUACAGCCGCAAGGUUUGACACGUGGCGCCUGGGUGCUGGCUGGAUCCCUAUUAUGUAUAUAAAUAGUACAGCCGCCCGGCUAUAAUAGAUUUUUAAAUUUUUUUUAAAAAUAGUAUAGCCGCGCGGCUAUACUCGCUUUUAAACCCUUUUUUUUUUUUUUUUUUUAAAUGUUCAGAACAGUAAGGCCGCAUGGUUUGACACGUGGCGCCUAGGUGCUGGCUGGAUCCCUAUUAUGUAUAUAAAUAGUACAGCCGCCCGGCUAUAAUAGAUUUUUAAAAUUUUUUUUUUGAAAUAGUAUAGCCGCGCGGCUAUACUCGGUUUUAACCCCUUUUUGUUUUUUAAAAAAUGUUCAGAACAGUACGGCCGCAUGGUUUGACACGUGGCGCCUAGGUGCUGGCUGGAUCCCUAUUAUGUAUAUAAAUAGUAUAGCCGCCCGGCUAUACUAGAUUUUCUUAAUUUUUUUUAAAUAGUAUAGCCGCGCGGCUGUACCCUGCUAACCUAGCGAAUUUUGAAAAUAUAAAAUCAGUUUCUUUACUUUUGAUUUUUGUUGCCAACUUCUUUAAUUUCAUAUAUGUAAUUAAUUUAUAUCUUAGCCUUUUUGAAUUACUUGAAUUAGUAAGUACUUGAAGUUCAAUUUUUUUAAAUAUAUUUGAAGCCCUUGAAUUACUUUAAUUAAGGUCUUGAAGGGCUUAAUGAAUACAUUUAGAGACCUCGAAGGUUACGUAUUAUACAUGUACGUACGUGUUUUUCAUGUUUAACACACGUAUACACGCACAUAUUAUGGAAUAAAAAUAAUAUAUAUUUAAAAAAUACAGUAUAGUGACCGAAUUUUUGGGUUGUAAUGUGCCAAGAUAUUGCCGAAUCAAACACAUACGUAUUUAAUUCGCAUUUUUUUCCCUUCCGUAUUUUACUAACUAUGAAUGAAUGUGAGAGCUCACUUGUUCUAACAAAAAUGCAAGAUAUAUAUUAAGUAAUAUCAUUUAUGAAGUUAAUUAAAAUAUUUAAUAUCAAUUAUUCACUAGAUAAAUAAUAGGUAGGACCUAAUUCAUAAUUCAAGUAAUUAAAUCAGGCUAAGAGAUUGUUUAAUUACUAAAAAUAACCUUUUUUUUUUCUUAAAAAACAUUAUUGACCCUUUUUAAAAUAUAAAAAUAGUAUAGCCGCACGGCUAUACGCGCUUUAAACCCUUUUUUUUCCAGAUUUUAAAAACAGUACAGCCGCAUGGUUUGACACGUGGCGCCUAGGUGCUGGCUAGAUUUUUUAAAUUUUUUUUAAAAUAGUAUAGCCGAGCGGCUAUACUCGCUUUUAACCCCUUUUUUUUUUUGAAAAAAAAAAAUGUUCAGAACUGUACAGCCGCAAGGUUUGACACGUGGCGCCUAGGUGCUGGCUGGAUCCCUAUUAUGUAUAUAAAUAGUACAGCCGCCCGGCUAUAAUAGAUUUUAAAAUUUUUUUUUUUGAAAUAGUAUAGCCGCGCGGCUAUACUCGGUUUUAACCCCUUUUUUUGUUUUUUUAAAAAUGUUCAGAACAGUACGGCCGCAUGGUUUGACACGUGGCGCCUAGGUGCUGGCUGGAUCCCUAUUAUGUAUAUAAAUAGUAUAGCCGCCCGGCUAUACUAGAUUUUCUUAAUUUUUUUUUAAAUAGUAUAGCCGCGCGGCUGUACCCUGCUAACCUAGCGAAUUUUGAAAAUAUAAAAUCAGUUUCUUUACUUUUGAUUUUUGUUGCCAACUUCUUUAAUUUCAUAUAUGUAAUUAAUUUAUAUCUUAGCCUUUUUGAAUUACUUGAAUUAGUAAGUACUUGAAGUUCAAUUUUUUAAAAUAUAUUUGAAGCCCUUGAAUUACUUUAAUUAAGGUCUUGAAGGGCUUAAUGAAUACAUUUAGAGACCUCGAAGGUUACGUAUUAUACAUGUACGUACGUGUUUUUCAUGUUUAACACACGUAUACACGCACAUAUUAUGGAAUAAAAAUAAUAUAUAUUUAAAAAAUACAGUAUAGUGACCGAAUUUUUGGGUUGUAAUGUGCCAAGAUAUUGCCGAAUCAAACACAUACGUAUUUAAUUCGCAUUUUUUUCCCUUCCGUAUUUUACUAACUAUGAAUGAAUGUGAGAGCUCACUUGUUCUAACAAAAAUGCAAGAUAUAUAUUAAGUAAUAUCAUUUAUGAAGUUAAUUAAAAUAUUUAAUAUCAAUUAUUCACUAGAUAAAUAAUAGGUAGGACCUAAUUCAUAAUUCAAGUAAUUAAAUCAGGCUAAGAGAUUGUUUAAUUACUAAAAAUAACCUUUUUUUUUUCUUAAAAAACAUUAUUGACCCUUUUUAAAAUAUAAAAAUAGUAUAGCCGCACGGCUAUACGCGCUUUAAACCCUUUUUUUUCCAGAUUUUAAAAACAGUACAGCCGCAUGGUUUGACACGUGGCGCCUAGGUGCUGGCUAGAUUUUUUAAAUUUUUUUUAAAAUAGUAUAGCCGAGCGGCUAUACUCGCUUUUAACCCCUUUUUUUUUUUGAAAAAAAAAAUGUUCAGAACUGUACAGCCGCAAGGUUUGACACGUGGCGCCUAGGUGCUGGCUGGAUCCCUAUUAUGUAUAUAAAUAGUACAGCCGCCCGGCUAUAAUAGAUUUUAAAAUUUUUUUUUUUGAAAUAGUAUAGCCGCGCGGCUAUACUCGGUUUUAACCCCUUUUUUUGUUUUUUUUAAAAUGUUCAGAACAGUACGGCCGCAUGGUUUGACACGUGGCGCCUAGGUGCUGGCUGGAUCCCUAUUAUGUAUAUAAAUAGUAUAGCCGCCCGGCUAUACUAGAUUUUCUUAAUUUUUUUUUAAAUAGUAUAGCCGCGCGGCUGUACCCUGCUAACCUAGCGAAUUUUGAAAAUAUAAAAUCAGUUUCUUUACUUUUGAUUUUUGUUGCCAACUUCUUUAAUUUCAUAUAUGUAAUUAAUUUAUAUCUUAGCCUUUUUGAAUUACUUGAAUUAGUAAGUACUUGAAGUUCAAUUUUUUUAAAUAUAUUUGAAGCCCUUGAAUUACUUUAAUUAAGGUCUUGAAGGGCUUAAUGAAUACAUUUAGAGACCUCGAAGGUUACGUAUUAUACAUGUACGUACGUGUUUUUCAUGUUUAACACACGUAUACACGCACAUAUUAUGGAAUAAAAAUAAUAUAUAUUUAAAAAAUACAGUAUAGUGACCGAAUUUUUGGGUUGUAAUGUGCCAAGAUAUUGCCGAAUCAAACACAUACGUAUUUAAUUCGCAUUUUUUUCCCUUCCGUAUUUUACUAACUAUGAAUGAAUGUGAGAGCUCACUUGUUCUAACAAAAAUGCAAGAUAUAUAUUAAGUAAUAUCAUUUAUGAAGUUAAUUAAAAUAUUUAAUAUCAAUUAUUCACUAGAUAAAUAAUAGGUAGGACCUAAUUCAUAAUUCAAGUAAUUAAAUCAGGCUAAGAGAUUGUUUAAUUACUAAAAAUAACCUUUUUUUUUUCUUAAAAAACAUUAUUGACCCUUUUUAAAAUAUAAAAAUAGUAUAGCCGCACGGCUAUACGCGCUUUAAACCCUUUUUUUUCCAGAUUUUAAAAACAGUACAGCCGCAUGGUUUGACACGUGGCGCCUAGGUGCUGGCUAGAUUUUUUAAAUUUUUUUUAAAAUAGUAUAGCCGAGCGGCUAUACUCGCUUUUAACCCCUUUUUUUUUUUGAAAAAAAAAAUGUUCAGAACUGUACAGCCGCAAGGUUUGACACGUGGCGCCUAGGUGCUGGCUGGAUCCCUAUUAUGUACAUAAAUAGUACAGCCGCCCGGCUAUAAUAGAUUUUUAAAUUUUUUUUAAAAAUAGUAUAGCCGCGCGGCUAUACUCGCUUUUAAACCCUUUUUUUUUUUUUUUUUUUUUUAUAAAUGUUCAGAACAGUACGGCCGCAUGGUUUGACACGUGGCGCCUAGGUGCUGGCUGGAUCCCUAUUAUGUAUAUAAAUAGUACAGCCGCCCGGCUAUAAUAGAUUUUUAAAUUUUUUUUUUUGAAAUAGUAUAGCCGCGCGGCUAUACUCGGUUUUAACCCCUUUUUUUUGUUUUUUUUAAAAUGUUCAGAACAGUACGGCCGCAUGGUUUGACACGUGGCGCCUAGGUGCUGGCUGGAUCCCUAUUGUGUAUAUAAAUAGUAUAGCCGCCCGGCUAUACUAGAUUUUCUUAAUUUUUUUUUAAAUAGUAUAGCCGCGCGGCUGUACCCUGCUAACCUAGCGAAUUUUGAAAAUAUAAAAUCAGUUUCUUUACUUUUGAUUUUUGUUGCCAACUUCUUUAAUUUCAUAUAUGUAAUUAAUUUAUAUCUUAGCCUUUUUGAAUUACUUGAAUUAGUAAGUACUUGAAGUUCAAUUUUUUUAAAUAUAUUUGAAGCCCUUGAAUUACUUUAAUUAAGGUCUUGAAGGGCUUAAUGAAUACAUUUAGAGACCUCGAAGGUUACGUAUUAUACAUGUACGUACGUGUUUUUCAUGUUUAACACACGUAUACACGCACAUAUUAUGGAAUAAAAAUAAUAUAUAUUUAAAAAAUACAGUAUAGUGACCGAAUUUUUGGGUUGUAAUGUGCCAAGAUAUUGCCGAAUCAAACACAUACGUAUUUAAUUCGCAUUUUUUUCCCUUCCGUAUUUUACUAACUAUGAAUGAAUGUGAGAGCUCACUUGUUCUAACAAAAAUGCAAGAUAUAUAUUAAGUAAUAUCAUUUAUGAAGUUAAUUAAAAUAUUUAAUAUCAAUUAUUCACUAGAUAAAUAAUAGGUAGGACCUAAUUCAUAAUUCAAGUAAUUAAAUCAGGCUAAGAGAUUGUUUAAUUACUAAAAAUAACCUUUUUUUUUUCUUAAAAAACAUUAUUGACCCUUUUUAAAAUAUAAAAAUAGUAUAGCCGCACGGCUAUACGCGCUUUAAACCCUUUUUUUUCCAGAUUUUAAAAACAGUACAGCCGCAUGGUUUGACACGUGGCGCCUAGGUGCUGGCUAGAUUUUUUAAAUUUUUUUUAAAAUAGUAUAGCCGAGCGGCUAUACUCGCUUUUAACCCCUUUUUUUUUUUGAAAAAAAAAAUGUUCAGAACUGUACAGCCGCAAGGUUUGACACGUGGCGCCUAGGUGCUGGCUGGAUCCCUAUUAUGUACAUAAAUAGUACAGCCGCCCGGCUAUAAUAGAUUUUUAAAUUUUUUUUAAAAAUAGUAUAGCCGCGCGGCUAUACUCGCUUUUAAACCCUUUUUUUUUUUUUUUUUUUUUUAUAAAUGUUCAGAACAGUACGGCCGCAUGGUUUGACACGUGGCGCCUAGGUGCUGGCUGGAUCCCUAUUAUGUAUAUAAAUAGUACAGCCGCCCGGCUAUAAUAGAUUUUUAAAUUUUUUUUUUUGAAAUAGUAUAGCCGCGCGGCUAUACUCGGUUUUAACCCCUUUUUUUUGUUUUUUUUAAAAUGUUCAGAACAGUACGGCCGCAUGGUUUGACACGUGGCGCCUAGGUGCUGGCUGGAUCCCUAUUGUGUAUAUAAAUAGUAUAGCCGCCCGGCUAUACUAGAUUUUCUUAAUUUUUUUUUAAAUAGUAUAGCCGCGCGGCUGUACCCUGCUAACCUAGCGAAUUUUGAAAAUAUAAAAUCAGUUUCUUUACUUUUGAUUUUUGUUGCCAACUUCUUUAAUUUCAUAUAUGUAAUUAAUUUAUAUCUUAGCCUUUUUGAAUUACUUGAAUUAGUAAGUACUUGAAGUUCAAUUUUUUUAAAUAUAUUUGAAGCCCUUGAAUUACUUUAAUUAAGGUCUUGAAGGGCUUAAUGAAUACAUUUAGAGACCUCGAAGGUUACGUAUUAUACAUGUACGUACGUGUUUUUCAUGUUUAACACACGUAUACACGCACAUAUUAUGGAAUAAAAAUAAUAUAUAUUUAAAAAAUACAGUAUAGUGACCGAAUUUUUGGGUUGUAAUGUGCCAAGAUAUUGCCGAAUCAAACACAUACGUAUUUAAUUCGCAUUUUUUUCCCUUCCGUAUUUUACUAACUAUGAAUGAAUGUGAGAGCUCACUUGUUCUAACAAAAAUGCAAGAUAUAUAUUAAGUAAUAUCAUUUAUGAAGUUAAUUAAAAUAUUUAAUAUCAAUUAUUCACUAGAUAAAUAAUAGGUAGGACCUAAUUCAUAAUUCAAGUAAUUAAAUCAGGCUAAGAGAUUGUUUAAUUACUAAAAAUAACCUUUUUUUUUUUCUUAAAAAACAUUAUUGACCCUUUUUAAAAUAUAAAAAUAGUAUAGCCGCACGGCUAUACUCGCUUUAAACCCUUUUUUUUCCAGAUUUUAAAAACAGUACAGCCGCAUGGUUUGACACGUGGCGCCUAGGUGCUGGCUAGAUUUUUUUAAUUUUUUUAAAAAUAGUAUAGCCGAGCGGCUAUACUCGCUUCAAAAAAAAAAUGUUCAGAACUGUACAGCCGCAAGGUUUGACACGUGGCGCCUGGGUGCUGGCUGGAUCCCUAUUAUGUAUAUAAAUAGUACAGCCGCCCGGCUAUAAUAGAUUUUUAAAUUUUUUUUAAAAAUAGUAUAGCCGCGCGGCUAUACUCGCUUUUAAACCCUUUUUUUUUUUUUUUUUUUUUUUU
This 6828-nucleotide long non-coding RNA is filed under the name Prunus persica (peach). RNAcentral describes it as "long non-coding RNA (PPER_LNC004147)". Lineage: Eukaryota; Viridiplantae; Streptophyta; Magnoliopsida; Rosales; Rosaceae. The record is from RNAcentral.